Molecule: unclassified non-coding RNA, 6132 nt
Filed under: Leishmania donovani
Lineage: Eukaryota; Euglenozoa; Kinetoplastea; Trypanosomatida; Trypanosomatidae
Description: gene:LdHU3.19.1490(CDS-product:hypothetical_prote in_conserved)
Source: RNAcentral
UACGUGCACAUCAACACACACAUACACACACUAUCAUCCACUCGUGCGUGUGUGUGGCGGCGGUGGUCCAGCCGAUCACCUCGAGCUGCGCCUUGUCCCCUUUCCCUCCCCCCUCCACACACACACACACGCACGCACGCCCACACGCCACUCAUACACAGGACUCGUUUUGAUGCGUGAAAGGAGACGAGAACGAUGAAGGACAGCAGAGACUAUAUACUGCGUCUGUGGAGCCUGGCGGAGGACAUGGUGAUACACAGCGGCAAGCCUCUACAUGCGUUUCUUCUGCUGCACCACGUCUUGACAAAGCCACCCCCGUCGCUGCGGCGUGCGAGUGGAACGACGGCGGGCGAGCCUAGCAUCAACAGUAGCGGUGUUGGAGCAAGCACGGUCACGCUGCCCACAGCAGCAACGUCCGAGGCUGCACUCCCACUGCACGUUACCGCCUUUGAUGCCGAGUGGAAGUGCGAAGAACUUGUCACGCGGCUGCGUGCGGCCGAGUAUCUGCUGCUCGCAGACGUGCCUGCAGCACGCACAGCGGUGUCAUCGGCGAGUACCGCCGCGCCGGCCGCAUCGUCUCCGCGUACGCUCAGCUGCACCGCCGGCCUGGAGGCGCUAGAGCUGGCGGAGCAGGUGCUGGCGCCGGUCUUCGCAACGACAUCUCUCUCGGUGUCGACUGACACUGUCCCCGGAGCCGCGCCGCCGCCGCCGCCGUAUCAGCAGGCGUCUUCCACCGCGUCUUGGUGGCAUCGAAGGUGUCGUGCUUCCAAAGACUCUGCAGGAGGUGGCGACAAGAGCAGAGGCAGCUGCAGCGCUUCGUACUCCCUCGAUGACGUGCUGCGAGAGGUGGCGGACGUGAGCCGAAGCUCCGCCUCCGCGGCUGCCCGCUCGUCCUCUGAUUCAUUGGGGGCGAGCAUUGACGGCACCGGCGCGGGGGUACAGUCGCGGGUGGCGAGCAUGUAUUUCCUCAAUCAUGCUACCGUCACAGCCCUGGCCUGGCCGCUCUCCAGCUUCACGCUGGCCUGGCCGAUGCGUGAAGCAGCUGGGGAUGGUGCAGACAGGUCCCACCGUGCAAGCGGGGACGGCGAACAGCACCUCCGUUUUGGGCCGGCCAGUGAAACCAUAACCAUCUCGGUCUCGCUGGUCGUACGCGCGCAUGUGCUGCAGGCCUUCAUAUGUCACCGACGCGCUCAGCACAAACGCGCUCUACAGUGUCUGGCGGAGGCGCGGCAGUGGAUCGCGCAGCAGUAUACCGAUGCCGCGCGUGCGCGAACCGUGCGACUCUUGUGGGAAGACCUUCAAGAGCGCUGGGCGCCCCCCAGUCCGCCGCCGCCGCAGCAGCAGCAGCAGUCGUCCGGCACGUCUUCAUCGUCGUCAGCGACUGCCAUCUCCGCAGCCCAGCUGCCUCCCCUGCCGGCCUUUUAUCGGCUGAUCGAGCGUUUGAUUGCGGAGGAGGGCCGUUCCUGCGCUGCCAUGGUGCAGGUGGAGGAGUGCAAGGUGCACUACGCGAUCCUGCAGGCGUGUGGCUCGCUGCCGCCACCGCCUCCGCUGCCGGUGCGAACCUCCUCGAUUGCCGUGACAACCACCUUAGCCGAUGCCAGCGCCCAGAUGCAGGCACACGCCGCAGACCUGCGCCUGCAUUACCGCCGCUAUCAAGAGAGUCUCCAGCUUCUGCAUGUUUUAUCUCGGGCUUACAUGACGGUGGUGCGGUGGAUAGAAGAGGAGGCGCAGGGAGACGUGAUGACGGCUACUGCGGCAGAAGCGCCGCCUCCGAACGGAAGCAUGGACGUGCCGGAGCAAGGCGUGGCGUGGCGUGAGGCGCUGCGGUGCGUUCGGAGUCAACUGAGCCCGUUCUGCCUCUGCGCGCUGCAGUACACCUGCAACCGUGCUACUCCAGUGGCACCGCGCGGCCUCGCCACGGACACCGCGGCCACGACAACGACCGCCGACGUCUCUCCGUGCUACGCGCUCGGCUUCGAUGUCCGGCUGGCCGCGGAGGUUCUGGGCCUGUACCACUGCCUCAGCUACGUGUACCUGCUCUACCAGCAGUCUGCCGCGGCAUCGACGCUGCAGCCGCUUUCCGCGAAGCAUCACGAAUCGCUCUCUGUCGUUGAGCUUAUGGCACGAGGCACCGGCGGCGGCGGUUGCAGCGGGCAACAACCGUGCAACGGCAGCGCUAUGGAGGAGCGCACGAAGGACAGGCAUGCGAGUCGAGGAGACGACACGUUUGAGGCGACCAAGGAGGAGGUGGCGUUCCUGCGGCGCUACCGCAGCGACCCGGCCUACGUGGCGCUCUUCGGCGAUCACCAAAUCCGUCCUCAAGCACGGCAAACGCUCUCCUCCUUGGACGCGGCACUCGACACGGACGCCGCAGACGACGCAGACGUACUCGCCAUCACUCGCGAUUUGGUGCACAGCGCGGUGGAGCACGCUAAGAUCAACGCGUUCGUCUUCGGUCAAUGGCGUUUGGGUGACGCCGCCGUAACCGCGACGUUGCGCGCUCCAUCUUCCACCAGUGCGAACGUGAAGGGGGAGAAGCGACUGAAGACGGAGAGCGCUCAUAACGACGAGACCGGUGGUGCACGCGAUCAGUGCGAAGGGGUACAGGUCGCUCCACUCCUUCGUUGGUGCGCACCGAAAGAUGCUGAAGCAAGCACAGCACCUGCCACCGCGCACGAAGCCGCACUGUUGUGGUGCCUGGUGGAGUUGGGCCUACGGGAUAACUAUCCCUUCGUCAUUCGAUUCCUGCGGGAGCUGAGCGGCGCCCUGUCACGAGUGACCGGCAUCACGUAUGCCUCUAGCGAAGGUGCGGCAGAUUGCGUGGCCGCGCCGCCUCAGCUGCCCGAAGAAGCUGCCGAAGGCGAAGUCGGCGUAGGUGACGCUCUGCCAGCGUGCCCUCGCCCUGAGGGGGCAUCCCUGCCGGGCAUCCGAAAGCACAGCCGCUCGCCGUCGCCAUCGCCGAUGCCUCUGAUGCAUCGAGCGUCCCAUGGGGCCACGUCACGUCUGCAGCCGCCGCCUUCAGGCAACUGGGUGUUUCCUGGCUUCCGCCGAGCCUUGCAGCUCUACCUAGAGCUUGUGACGGUGCUCAUGCGAUCAGCCGCCACCAUGCAUGCCACUUCAUCCACCGCCGCCACUGGCGCCGAGGAGCCGCAAAGUGCAGCGGCCUUCUCCUCCACAGCGACGUCAUCUACGGCACCAUCGAUCCCCAUCCUGCGACUUGGCUUGCACGAUGCGGAGCAGCUCAUGGCGCAAGUCCUCUUCACCGUCGACGCCGAAAUGUUGCACCUGACAGGCAAUACGUGGGGCAUUGCUUCUGGCGCUAGUGCGCGGGAAGGCGGCUGCACACGCGUCACCGGUGCCACGGACUACCGAAACCGGAACGGAAAGGGCACCAGCAGCGGCGACAUUAGCCUAUCUCACCUUAGGCAACGCUUCCUGCUGGCUGAUCAGCUGCAGUGCUCCGCCCCGGCGCAACUUCGCGGGCUGGUACAGAUCAAGGCGGCGGCGCUGGUCACCAUGGCGCGCCACCACCUCACGCAGCUGUCUCUCGUGCGAGCUGUGCAUUACCUCCGCGAGGGGCAGCAGUUUGCUCGCGUUUUCCAUCGGCAGGCAAAGCUGACGCUGGUGCCGGAGAUGCACGUUCUGCUGGCGUGUCUUGCGACGUGCAUGAGCCUGCGGCGGCUCCCAGACCUCCCAGAGCCGGCGGUAAAGAAGGGAAGAAGAAGCGAAGGCAGGGGCCACUCCGUGAGCAGCGGGGACGGGGAGGCGGCCACUGACGUGGCACUCGGCACCGCGCAUGAUGCGCUGUACGCCUCUGCGCAGGGCUGGAUCUCGGCGGAGCGAGCCACGUCCAUUCACGCCGGCAGUGACGAUGGCGCAGCGCCCCACGAGCCGCACUCGCUGAGCGGGCACCACAGCAGCCACGUCGGCAACGGCACCGGCGCCGCGGCCUUUGCUGUUCCCCCGCGAGAGGAGUCCACGGUGGCGCAGGACGUUGGGCUGCCGUACCUGCACCUGCUCGCCGCUGAGCGUGCCGCCUGCACCACCUUGCACACCCCACCAUCUCUCUCCCUACUCCUCUAUAUCUUGAAGGCAUGGACUGUCUUUCAUCUCGUGACCGCAGGCGAAGAGCUAGUCUGGUCGGACGUGGGCUGCAACGUCUCCUCACUGCUCACGACGCCACCGCACGCCCCGACGCCGCUGCAGCAGCAGCAGUCGAUACGCCAGAUGAAUGGGUCACCAUCGAUGUCGGCAGCCGUCCCGCGAUCACUGGCGCUGAAACCAGCGUCACCGUCACCGCCUUUUCUGCCGCUUCCCUCACCUUCUCACGCCACCACGACGCUCAACACCACAGUUGAGGAUCAGCAGCGUCGCGUGGCGCGACUCGACAGUCUAACAUCGACACCAACCAGCACCCCGACUCUGCGCAGCCGACACGCCACGGUGCCGACGGAGAUGCACCGCAUUCAGCUUGAGCCUGCCAUAAUGUCGGCGGCCACCGCCCGAGCGACAGUGCAAGCGGUAAAAGGCGAGGGCAAUGACGACGAGGGCUGCGGAGUGGGACGCGCCGCCACGGGUGUCGCGUACGUGAAUGCAAAGGGGGCCAACGAUGGCAGUGCCGACGGGAAGGUCACUCACAGUCUUCAGAGCCGCGGCAGCAGCGGCGUCGACAAGAGUAGUGCCGUGAAUUCAGAGAGCGGCAUUGGCGGUACGCAUGUACGAGGCAUCUGCACAAGCUUUCGCGGCGCCUCAGCCAUGGCCGCAACGGCUUCAUGUCCCGCGGGUGCGCACGUGAGAGCACUCCCGCACACGCAGAGGCACCGCGCCGGUGAUGUGCUGCAACGCAUGAUGGCCGUCCUCCUCGACCACUACGAGACGCAUGGCGUUUACGCGGCGCCCAUAACGGCAGCAGCGCCCUCGCUCUCCACAGAAGCUGAGAGGGCUACCCUUCAGCAAGUUCCUGCCGCUGCGUGGACGCCGCAAAACGUCGCUCUCUUCCGCCUCCUUCGCGGGGCGGUGCUGCUGUGCGAAAACAAAGACGAGCCGGCAGCGGCGCGGGAGCUGAAAGAAGCCACACACAUUGCGAAGCGGCAUCUCGGCGUCCUUCACCCGUACGUGGCCGAUGGGCUGGCGCUGCUGGCGAGCGCGUACGCUUCGCUCGAUGUGGACGCUGUGCCGAGCGGCGAUAGCCAUAGUCACGGUGAGCCCUCCGGCUCCGCCACCUCACCGUCGCCACAGCAGGUGACGGGAGGCGCAGCUCGAACACGGAAGGUAGCGGUGCAGGUCGCCAUGCGCUGCAGCUGCAUGGCGCUGGCCUCCCUCUACGCAACGUCGGCGGCCAACGGCAGCGAUAGCGUCGAUGCUGCUGGAACGACGACGGCACAGCAGCAGCAGCAGCAGACGGCGCCCUUAUCCACCAUAGGAGCACGUCUUCAGGAGUGGUGGGGCAGCCAAGUCCUCCACGGCUUGUGUGGCAGCGGCAGCGGUGGGUACAAUGCAAAUGCGGUUCAGCAUCUGCGGCUUCUGUUCGGUUGGCUCCCGGGGUCGGCAGAGUACUGCUUCUCGUAAAAAUAGCUGUCUGCGAACGGGCCACGCACGCUCACCCACUCACGUACGUCUCCGACACCGAUCUUGUGAGUUGAUCCUGUCACUCUCCGGCAGCAUUGAUCACUCUGCAGUUGUAUAUGUAUAUGUGUGUGUCUGUGGAAUGCCGUCUGCGUUCACUCGCAGCGACUCACCUACGCGUGCAUGCGCAAGUCUGCGCCAGGGCCAGCGCUGACUGAUAGCCUCGAUGGUUCUCUCCCCCCCUUGCUUCCCUCUUAUCUUUGAUGUGUUUCUCUCCUUGAGUCGCCCUUGAUCCACUCGUCGCAGUGCGGGUGCUGCUGUAGUCGUUAUUGUUGCUCUUGUGGUCGCCUCAGCAGCGGCAGCAGCGGCAGCAGCAGGGCGGGCACGCAAGAAGCGGAAAGACACCAAGAGGUCAGGGGCAUCGGGUACGUCUGCUUGUUUCGUUGGUUGCGGCCGGACCCCACCCCCCUCCCCACACACGCCGCCCUCUAUUCUCUCUCUCCUCACUGUUUAGACAAGGAAAAGCACAUCAAGAUAGAUGAUUUCGAAAAACCAAGCUCAACGAUG